Molecule: ribosomal RNA, 586 nt
Filed under: uncultured bacterium
Lineage: Bacteria
Description: bacterial SSU rRNA
Rfam family: Bacterial small subunit ribosomal RNA
Source: RNAcentral
GAGUUUGAUCAUGGCUCAGAAUCAACGCUGGCGGCGUGCCUCAGACAUGCAAGUCGAACGAUUAAAGCUCUCUUCGGAGAGUGCAUAGAGUGGCGCACGGGUGAGUAACACGUAAGUAAUCUACCCUCGGGUGGGGAAUAACGUUCGGAAACGGACGCUAAUACCGCAUAAUGCAGCGGCACCGCAAGGUGACAGUUGUUAAAGAUUUAUUGCCUGGGGAGGAGCUUGCGGCAGAUUAGCUUGUUGAUAAGGUAACGGCUUACCAAGGCUACGAUCUGUAUCCGGUCUAAGAGGACGGUCGGACACACUGACACUGAAUAACGGGUCAGACUCCUACGGGAGGCAGCAGUCGGGAAUUUUGGGCAAUGGGGGAAACCCUGACCCAGCAACGCCGCGUGAAGGAUGAAGUAUUUCGGUAUGUAAACUUCGAAAGAAUAGGAAGAAUAAAUGACGGUACUAUUUAUAAGGUCCGGCUAACUACGUGCCAGCAGCCGCGGUAAUACGUAGGGACCAAGCGUUGUUCGGAUUUACUGGGCGUAAAGGGCGCGUAGGCGGCAAUUCAAGUCAUCUGUGAAAUCUCCGGGCU